RNAcentral lists this ribosomal RNA (301 nucleotides) under uncultured bacterium. Its description in RNAcentral is "partial 16S ribosomal RNA". It matches the Rfam family "Bacterial small subunit ribosomal RNA", at positions 509 to 808 of the family's 1533-position model. The record is from RNAcentral.
CAGCAGCCGGCGGUAAUACGUAGGGUGCAAGCGUUAAUCGGAAUUACUGGGCGUAAAGCGUGCGCAGGCGGUUAUAUAAGACAGAUGUGAAAUCCCCGGGCUCAACCUGGGAACUGCAUUUGUGACUGUAUAGCUAGAGUACGGCAGAGGGGGAUGGAAUUCCGCGUGUAGCAGUGAAAUGCGUAGAUAUGCGGAGGAACACCGAUGGCGAAGGCAAUCCCCUGGGCCUGUACUGACGCUCAUGCACGAAAGCGUGGGGAGCAAACAGGAUUAGAUACCCCCGUAGUCCCUGUCUCUUAUA